GGAUCAGGCUUAGGCUUGCAGUGACAACAGGCACUGCAGCAUUUCUCUGGUUUGGGAGGCUCAGGCUUGGGCUUGCACUUCUCACAGUGGCAACAUUUCGGUGGCUCAGGCUUGGGCUUGGGCUUGCACUUCUCACAGUCGCAACAUUUCGGUGGCUCCGGCUUAGGCUUCGGCUUGCACUUCUCACAGUCGCAACAUUUCGGUGCCUCAGGCUUGCACUCCUUGGGCGGGGCUGGUAUUGGCCACACCUCAGCGAUGACAAUCCCCUUCACGAUUUUCCCGGCCUUGGACCACACCUUCUUGCAGAGCUUCUCGGCGUCGAACUUCC
This 328-nucleotide long non-coding RNA is filed under the name Zea mays. RNAcentral describes it as "long non-coding RNA (ZMAY_LNC000851)". Lineage: Eukaryota; Viridiplantae; Streptophyta; Magnoliopsida; Poales; Poaceae. The record is from RNAcentral.